AAGGUUCUUGACCUUCUUGGACAUGGCAAAGCAUUCUGUGCGGGUGUCAAAUUUUGGAAGAAGGUAUUAGAUGGAAUUUUGGUGAUGGGAGCCCUAUUCAAUGUAAGACAGACCGCUGGAUACCUCUUUCCUUCCCUUCACCUCCUCAGUGUAAAGCUACUGCAGACUUAGUAUUAUAUGGGCUUCUCAGUUGGUUGAUAGUCAAUUUCAUACGUGGGAUGUUCAGAAGCUACAUGCUAUUUUUGAAAAAGAGGAAGUUCAUAACAUUUUAUCUAUUCCAGUCAAUAUCUUUCACAAGGAUGACUCCCUAAUAUGGCAUUUCUCUUCUUCCAGGACAUGUGUCGUCAAAUCUGGUUAUCGAAUUGCUCUUCAGAUUAAACAAAGAGAGAUUGAAGCUAACCAGGCAGGUCCUGGUCCAAAUGGAACCUCUCAUAUUCAGAACAUGUGGCGUCAAUUUUGGAAGUUUGAGCUUUCACCAAAAAUUUCAAUCUUUUUAUGGAGACUGUUAAAGGAGAGGCUUCCGUUCAAUAAGUUAAUUCAUAAAAGAAUUCCUGCUAUCUCAGAGAAUUGUAAUUUUUGUGGACAACCAGAAUCCUUACUCCACUUGUUUUUCCAUUGCCUAAGAGCAAUUCAUGUGUGGCUUUAUUCCCCUUUUAUGCUUCGAUCUUCCUUGCUCAAUGGAACAUUUAUUGUUGAUUGUUGGUUGGAACUAACUUCUUCUUUACAGCUACACAGCCAUGAUGAUAACCUUGUGAUGCUGAUGGCUUUCCUUUUGUUAAAUAUUUGGAAGGGCAGAAACCAAUUAGUAUUUAGAAACAAGAUGCUUGAUCACCAGUACAUCAUUCAAGCAACCAUAUCCGAGUAUUAGGAAUUCUGUUCCCUUCAAUUAUCCCAUCAGGCUCCACAAAGGACCCCCAAUCAACCUCCUUCUUCAUCAUGGAUUCCACCUUAACAAGGAAAGAUCAAGAUCAAUUUUGAUGGCACAGUGGAUAAAAAGCUCAAGAGGGGAUCGGUUACAGCACUUGCUAGAGAUGCAUCAGGUCAGCCUUGUGGUUGGAUUUGUAAGAGAUUUCCUAGUAUAACAGACCCAUUAAUUCUUAAAGCUCCUGCAUCUCAAGAAGCAGCUCAUCUGGCUCACUCGAGAGGUUACAAUUCAACCAUAAUAGAAGGUGAUUCGUGGAUAGUAGUUCAUGCAGCAAAAGGAGCAUCAUCUAAUAUUCAAAUUCAAGGAAUUAUGCAUGAUAUUUCUUGUUUUUCAGCUCAAUUGGUUUGUUGCAAUUUCAUCCAUGUCAAUAGGACUAGAAAUGAAGUAGUGCAUAAUCUAGCCAGGAAAUGCCUGCUGGAUGAUUCAUUUUAUUUCAAUCCUUUGACUCAAGUCAAUUAUGUAAUUUCUCUCUUGGCUAA
This 1404-nucleotide unclassified non-coding RNA is filed under the name Hevea brasiliensis (rubber tree). Lineage: Eukaryota; Viridiplantae; Streptophyta; Magnoliopsida; Malpighiales; Euphorbiaceae. The record is from RNAcentral.